RNAcentral lists this ribosomal RNA (495 nucleotides) under uncultured Pseudomonadales bacterium. RNAcentral's name for it is "bacterial SSU rRNA". It matches the Rfam family "Bacterial small subunit ribosomal RNA", at positions 908 to 1400 of the family's 1533-position model. The record is from RNAcentral. Lineage: Bacteria; Pseudomonadati; Pseudomonadota; Gammaproteobacteria; Pseudomonadales.
AAUUGACGGGGGCCCGCACAAGCGGUGGAGCAUGUGGUUUAAUUCGAUGCAACGCGAAGAACCUUACCUACACUUGACAUACAGAGAACUUACCAGAGAUGGUUUGGUGCCUUCGGGAACUCUGAUACAGGUGCUGCAUGGCUGUCGUCAGCUCGUGUUGUGAGAUGUUGGGUUAAGUCCCGCAACGAGCGCAACCCCCUAUCCUUAGUUGCUAGCAGGUAAUGCUGAGAACUCUAAGGAGACUGCCGGUGAUAAACCGGAGGAAGGUGGGGACGACGUCAAGUCAUCAUGGCCCUUACGUGUAGGGCUACACACGUGCUACAAUGGCGCAUACAGAGUGCUGCGAACCUGCGAAGGUAAGCUGAAUCACUUAAAGUGCGUCGUAGUCCGGAUUGGAGUCUGCAACUCGACNNNANGAAGUCGGAAUCGCUAGUAAUCGCGUAUCAGAAUGACGCAGUGAAUACGUUCCCGGGCCUUGUACACACCGCCCGUCAC